Molecule: long non-coding RNA, 2208 nt
Organism: Pseudoliparis swirei
Lineage: Eukaryota; Metazoa; Chordata; Actinopteri; Perciformes; Liparidae
Exons: 3
Source: RefSeq, a predicted model, not a curated record
UUUCUUCUAAAGACUAAAUCUUCUAAAUGAACGAGUAAUCCCUUCAGACAGCGUGUAUUUUAGACACUUGUUUAAUUGUAUUCUUUUUUAAAGACAAAACUUCACACAGAGCUGUAUUUUCAAAGAGGCUUCUACCUAUAAAGUGCCAGCGAGGUAUUUAAUAUCGUGGAUGAUAAAUUGUUUCUUCAGUGAAACAUCCAGAUUAAGUAUCUUGUUUAAAUUAGUUUCAUCUGCUAAAUUACUGUUGUAUUUGUUGUUUAAAGCUGCUCGAUUGUUAGUCUGUCCUGUUUUAGGAUUUGUUUUGGUAGAGAGGUGUGUCCUGUGUUCCGACACCUGAAUCUUCACUGAUUGGACGAGCGCUCAUCACCUGGUUUCUAUUGAGUGUCAUUUGAAUACCAAAAGCCAAGGGGCGGUGUCAACUUGGGCUCAUAACCGGAUCGGGUCUUUAGCGUCAGCGUGACUCUUCGGACAAAGACUCGGAGGACAAAGACAUAGGAGUCUUCCGUUGGAGUCUUCGGGGGUGGCUGAGUAUUUCACCAUUUUGUGAAUGUGUGUAUUUUCCAUACCUGUGCGUAUCUCUACUCGUAGUUACUAUAGGACUCGUUCAUUCAUGUACCAGAACCCCUCCUCUGUUAUCCUUCCUACCCGUUCUACUCACACCCAGCACCUUGUCACGGGAGGCCUCUGGAACUGUCAGUCAGCCAACCGCAAGGCCGACUUCAUCUCUGGCUUUGUUAUGGAGCAGUCGCUUGACUUCCUGGCUCUCACUGAGACCUGGAUCACAGCAGACAACACGUCUACCCCGGCUGCUCUCUCCUCUGCCUACUCCUUCAGCCACACACCCAGACCCUCUGGUCGGGGUGGAGCUCCAGGUUUACUCAUCUCACCCAAAUGGUGUUUCGCUCCCUACCCGCUUCCACUCUUUAGCCCACUGACUUGUGAGUUCCAUGCUGUGACGGUUACUCAUCCGGUUCAACUACACAUUGUUGUUCUCUACCGUCCCCCUGGUUCUUUGGGAGAUUUCUUGGAAGAGCUAGACGUCCUCCUAUCGAACUUCUCGGAACACGGCCCCCCGCUCAUCCUUCUGGGUGACUUCAACAUCCAGACAGAGAAGUCAUGUGAUCUCUUACUGUCUUCCUUUAACCUCUCACUCAGUCCCUCCCCUCCCACUCACAAAGCCGGCAACCGCCUUGACUACAUUUUCACUAGAAACUGCUCUACCUCCAACCUCACUGUGACUCCUCUCCAUGUCUCUGACCACUUCUUCAUCUCUUACUCUCUCUGGUACUGACGACCCACACAUAUCUACAGACUCUGCACCUGUACGCCACAACAUUCGCACCCUCUGUCCCCAGGGGCGUGUCUAGGGGGUGGCCAGGGGUGGCACGUGCUACCCCUGGAAUCUGAUUGGCCACCCCAGGUGCCACCCCAUAUGCUAAACUAUGAUUGGCUAUCUGCCCACGGAGGCGGGAACGUUUGAAUUGUGUGACUACCGAACUUUCAUUUUCAACCGACAAGAAGACAUCAAGAGAUUGCGGCUACUCGCUCCUGAAAGAUGUGAGUAGCUAGAAUUAUUGAUAACAGUUACACAUAAUGAGUCAGUGGUUUAAAAAGUUUGAACUGUAAUAAGCUAAAACGUUUUUUGAUUUUCACGAUAUGUGGUGCAGGUCUGUCAUCAUCGCGACUGUCGACAGUGUCGACUGACUCAGCUUGCUGCCUAGCAAACCUGUCCAGGGAUUCUUAGCUCCUGAAAGAUUAUGAAAAGAAAUGAGAACAUUCAGGGAUUCUUCAAAAGAAAGAAAUCCAAAACAACAGAGCAGGACAGAGCAGCAGAAGCCAGCAGUGCUAGUCAGUCUGAGGAUGAGAGCCAGCUUGACUCUGCUAGGGAUGUACAGCAGGAGCCUCCAGCUUCAGCUGUACACAUGGACUCAGACAAGGAUACUGGUGAUGAAGGCCCUUCAUCUUCACUUGCACAUCAGGGUAUGUAAUGUAUGCAUCUUUAUAAAACUAUCUGCUAUGACUUGAGAUGUUUCACUUUUGCUAUACUUAUAGUGGCUUAUACUGAGAUUCAGGGCAAAGCCCUAUUUUUAACAAUACAGGUGUGAAAAAGCUAAAUAUGACUAAUUUGACAUACAAAUAAAUUGAUACAACUGUUAAAAUCCCUAUAUUACUUCAGGUGUGUCAAGUCAGCCACUCUCUGACAAUGAC